GACGUAGGGCGCGAGCGUUUGUCCGGAUUUAUUGGGCGUAAAGAGCUCGUAGGCGGCUUGUCGCGUCGUCUGUGAAAUCCCGCGGCUCAACCGCGGGUCUGCAGUCGAUACGGGCAGGCUAGAGUUCGGUAGGGGAGACUGGAAUUCCUGGUGUAGCGGUGAAAUGCGCAGAUAUCAGGAGGAACACCGGUGGCGAAGGCGGAUCUCUGGGCCAUUACUGACGCUGAGGAGCGAAAGCGUGGGGAGCGAACAGG
RNAcentral lists this ribosomal RNA (254 nucleotides) under uncultured bacterium. RNAcentral describes it as "partial 16S ribosomal RNA". It matches the Rfam family "Bacterial small subunit ribosomal RNA", at positions 524 to 776 of the family's 1533-position model. The record is from RNAcentral.